GUACACUCCUACGGGAGGCAUCAGUGGGGAAUAUUGGACAAUGGGCGCAAGCCUGAUCCAGCCAUGCCGCGUGAGUGAUGAAGGCCCUAGGGUUGUAAAGCUCUUUCACCGGUGAAGAUAAUGACGGUAACCGGAGAAGAAGCCCCGGCUAACUUCGUGCCAGCAGCCGCGGUAAUACGAAGGGGGCUAGCGUUGUUCGGAUUUACUGGGCGUAAAGCGCACGUAGGCGGACUAUUAAGUCAGGGGUGAAAUCCCGGGGCUCAACCCCGGAACUGCCUUUGAUACUGGUAGUCUUGAGUUCGAGAGAGGUGAGUGGAAUUCCGAGUGUAGAGGUGAAAUUCGUAGAUAUUCGGAGGAACACCAGUGGCGAAGGCGGCUCACUGGCUCGAUACUGACGCUGAGGUGCGAAAGCGUGGGGAGCAAACAGGAUUAGAUACCCUUGUAGUCCCAUG
RNAcentral lists this ribosomal RNA (452 nucleotides) under uncultured organism. Its description in RNAcentral is "partial 16S ribosomal RNA". It matches the Rfam family "Bacterial small subunit ribosomal RNA", at positions 331 to 799 of the family's 1533-position model. The record is from RNAcentral.